AUCUCUUCACUCCCUGAAGUUUUAUUUGGUUUAUUGCUCUGCUUUUUGGUAACGAUGAUUUGAGCUAAGAUGCUAAGAAGGCAAACAUAGCAGCAAGGAAGGACAGGAACUUGGGUUAAUCUUGGUUUGUUAAUAAUUAAUUUCAUGAUUUUUUUUUCUAAGAGUUUUGCACUGAUAUAUAUAUAUAUAUAUAUAUGUUUAUAACCUUGGUUUUG
Humulus lupulus (European hop) is the source of this 215-nucleotide long non-coding RNA. RefSeq lists it as uncharacterized. NCBI's taxonomy places the organism in Eukaryota, Viridiplantae, Streptophyta, Magnoliopsida, Rosales, Cannabaceae. The transcript has 3 exons. The record is from RefSeq and is a predicted model, not a curated record.